AGUGAACGCUGGCGGUAGGCCUAACACAUGCAAGUCGAGCGGCAGCACAGUAAGAGCUUGCUCUUACGGGUGGCGAGUGGCGGACGGGUGAGGAAUACAUCGGAAUCUACUUUUUCGUGGGGGAUAACGUAGGGAAACUUACGCUAAUACCGCAUACGACCUACGGGUGAAAGAAGGGGAUCUUCGGACCUUGCGCGAUUGAAUGAGCCGAUGUCGGAUUAGCUAGUUGGCGGGGUAAAGGCCCACCAAGGCGACGAUCCGUAGCUGGUCUGAGAGGAUGAUCAGCCACACUGGAACUGAGACACGGUCCAGACUCCUACGGGAGGCAGCAGUGGGGAAUAUUGGACAAUGGGCGCAAGCCUGAUCCAGCCAUACCGCGUGGGUGAAGAAGGCCUUCGGGUUGUAAAGCCCUUUUGUUGGGAAAGAAAAGCAGCAGGUUAAUACCCCGCUGUUCUGACGGUACCCAAAGAAUAAGCACCGGCUAACUUCGUG
RNAcentral lists this ribosomal RNA (492 nucleotides) under uncultured bacterium. Its description in RNAcentral is "partial 16S ribosomal RNA". It matches the Rfam family "Bacterial small subunit ribosomal RNA", at positions 29 to 507 of the family's 1533-position model. The record is from RNAcentral.